GACGAACGCUGGCGGCGUGCUUAACACAUGCAAGUCGAGCGAGACCCCGCUUUCGGGUGGGUGUUCUAGCGGCGAACGGGUGAGUAACACGUGGGCAACCUGCCCUCAGCUCUGGGAUAACUCCAAGAAAUUGGGGCUAAUACCGGAUAUGACCGCUGACCGCAUGGUCUGGUGGUGGAAAGAUUGAUCGGCUGGGGAUGGGCCCGCGGCCUAUCAGCUUGUUGGUGGGGUAGUGGCCUACCAAGGCGACGACGGGUAGCCGGCCUGAGAGGGUGACCGGCCACACUGGGACUGAGACACGGCCCAGACUCCUACGGGAGGCAGCAGUGGGGAAUAUUGCGCAAUGGGCGAAAGCCUGACGCAGCGACGCCGCGUGGGGGAUGACGGCCUUCGGGUUGUAAACCUCUUUCAGCAGGGACGAAGCUAAAGUGACGGUACCUGCAGAAGAAGCACCGGCCAACUACGUGCCAGCCGCCGCCGUAA
This 483-nucleotide ribosomal RNA is filed under the name uncultured bacterium. RNAcentral describes it as "partial 16S ribosomal RNA". It matches the Rfam family "Bacterial small subunit ribosomal RNA", at positions 28 to 523 of the family's 1533-position model. The record is from RNAcentral.